RNAcentral lists this ribosomal RNA (505 nucleotides) under uncultured bacterium. Its description in RNAcentral is "partial 16S ribosomal RNA". It matches the Rfam family "Bacterial small subunit ribosomal RNA", at positions 28 to 507 of the family's 1533-position model. The record is from RNAcentral.
GACGAACGCUGGCGGCGUGCCUAAUACAUGCAAGUAGAACGCACAGUUUAUACCGUAGCUUGCUACACCAUAGACUGUGAGUUGCGAACGGGUGAGUAACGCGUAGGUAACCUGCCUGGUAGCGGGGGAUAACUAUUGGAAACGAUAGCUAAUACCGCAUAAUAUUAAUUAUUGCAUGAUAAUUAAUUGAAAGGUGCAAUUGCACCACUACCAGAUGGACCUGCGUUGUAUUAGCUAGUAGGUGAGGUAACGGCUCACCUAGGCGACGAUACAUAGCCGACCUGAGAGGGUGAUCGGCCACACUGGGACUGAGACACGGCCCAGACUCCUACGGGAGGCAGCAGUAGGGAAUCUUCGGCAAUGGACGAAAGUCUGACCGAGCAACGCCGCGUGAGUGAAGAAGGAUUUCGGAUCGUAAAGCUCUGUUGUAAGAGAAGAACGGGUGUGAGAGUGGAAAGUUCACACUGUGACGGUAUCUUACCAGAAAGGGACGGCUAACUACGUG